UUUCACAGCCAAAUCACACUGCAGCCCAAAAGUGGUUACAUACUAAAGCUAAGCAGGGCUGAGCCUGAUCAGUACCUGGAUGGGAGACCAUAUGGGAAAACUAGGUUGCUGUUGGAA
Danio rerio (zebrafish) is the source of this 117-nucleotide ribosomal RNA. The record is from Ensembl. Lineage: Eukaryota; Metazoa; Chordata; Actinopteri; Cypriniformes; Danionidae.